This is an RNA transcript of Diospyros lotus (date-plum), 3483 nucleotides long. RefSeq lists it as uncharacterized. Lineage: Eukaryota; Viridiplantae; Streptophyta; Magnoliopsida; Ericales; Ebenaceae. The transcript is spliced from 16 exons. The record is from RefSeq and is a predicted model, not a curated record.
CAUAAUUCCUGGACCAGAAAGGCAAGCAAAGCGGCCAUCGAGGAGAGCAACUGGGUUGGGUUGCCCUUAUUCCGAUGGAUACCACGCCGUCGCCGGAGAUCCUGACGCCGACAACCGGAAGUGAAUCGGAGGAGGAAGAUAUCGUGAUGAGCGAUGUUCACUUGGGUUGCCCGCCGAACUUCUCUGGGCCGUACAUUUCCCGCUUCACCUUCUCACUUCCACCUGUCAAAGCUGAAGCAAUAUCAAAGCAGCAACUUGUUACAUUGGAUGGAGAUGGUGAUCUUGUCAUAACUCGACGGAGUAGGCAAUGCAAGGAUACUUAUGUUGUUAGGGUCCAGCAUAGUAUCACUUCAACAAUUCCUAGUGUUGGUCUGCAGGUAUGGAGAGCAGAAUUGGCACUAGCUGAUUUUGUGUUGCAUAAGAUGGUUACAUCAUCUGAAUUUGAUGGAAUUGUUGCAAUAGAACUUGGUGCAGGGACAGGGUUGGUUGGCAUAUUGCUUGCACGUGUUGCUAAAACUGUCUUCCUGACAGACAAUGGUGAUGAAGUACUUGACAACUGUGCUACCAAUGUUUGUCUCAACUCCGAAUUGUUCCACUCCCAAGCUUUAGUUUGUGUUCGUGAACUUGAUUGGAAAGGUUCCUGGCCUCCUAAUUUGGUAGAAAACUCUGCAUCUCUAAAACGGCAUGCUUGGACCUCAGCAGAAGUUGAAGAAAUCCAGAGAGCUUCUCUCAUUGUGGCUGCUGAUGUUAUUUAUAGUGAUGACCUGACUGAUGCAUUCUUCAACACUUUAGAGAGACUUAUGGCGCAUAGACCAGAAAAGGUGGCGUACUUGGCAUUGGAAAAACGAUACAACUUCACUGUGGAUGACCUUAACGUCAUUGCAAAUGGGUACUCACAUUUUCGAACCUAUCUACAUGAUGGAGAUUGCGAUGAUGAUAACGGUAGAAGUAGACCUUGGCGUUGCUUCGUUGGCGAGUGCAUUGAUCUUACACAGAUUCCGCAGUACUUGAGAGAGUACGACAGAGGAGAUGAUGUUGAGAUUUGGCAGAUCAAAUUUUGUAGGUUGACAUCAUUUUGACGGUAGGAGUUGUGGUAGAUGAUUCUACUUCAUUCACUCUAGACGUGCUCCGGCUACAGCACAUGCAUCUCAUCUCAUGGGUUGAGUAUAGGGAAGUUAAUAUCCCUUUCGUAUGUAAAGUGAGAAAUUUUGAAUAUUGAAAAUAUGUAAUGGAUUUAUUUCUUGGUGGGCACUUCAAUAUCAGUUAAUGAAAAUGCAUUUAUUUUGUAGUGUAUAUAAGGUUGUUAAAUGUUUGAAGGAUUAUGUGUAUAGUAAGACUUACUAUUCCCCGUUGGAGUUCGUGGCUUCUAGGGGGAUGGUGCCAGUCACGAUCUCGGAUUUUUGGUUGUGACAAACUAGGACCGAGAGAGAAAGAGACCGAACUUCGACUUCGAGUCUUCCUUCGACUUCGAGAGAGAGAGAGAGAGAGACCCACAAACCAAACCCUAAUCGGAACCAAAACCCUAUCAUCAGUCCGUUGCCAUUUGUAAUCUCCUCCUCACUUUUGCCUUCCGCCUCCUUUCCCUUUGUUGUCAGCCGUCGACCGACAACUAUCCUUUGCCACAAACCCCAAAUCGGAACUAAAACCCUACCGUUGGUGUCGAUAAUCUCCUUCGUCGCCUUUGCCUUCCGUUGCCGUUCCCUUUGCCGUCAGCCGUUAAUCGAAGAAUGUCCUUCUCCGUCCCCUUCGUCAGACCCACAUCGACGACCCACUCCAUUCCUUGUUUCUUCCUUUCCUUGUGCUUUGAUGACCGACCCGCACCAACAAUCGACCAUCGACAGAGGCUGAUGUACAGUUCUCGUCUCAAAAUGGCUUCAACGUCAUCAUAUUGCAAUACAUAGAAGCAAAAGCUGCUAUUACUUUUAGUGCUUUACAGGUCAUCAAACUCAUCAGUCAUCACCAUGUGAUCCAAAACCAUCUCCGUUAAGCUAUGCACAGCAUGAGCACGUAUGUGGGAGUGGGAGCCUGGGAGCCAUUUGGGGCUUCGAUUCGACAAAAAGUCAGGACCCAGUUUCAUCUUGUAAAAACUAACUUUGCCAACUGCUGAAAUGAUGCACUGCAUUGGUUUGGAGUUCAAGUGUGAAACACAAGCCACAAAGAGUAGGCAAGGAGCAUGAACUUGAAGACGAAGAUGUUGUGCAGAUUAUUAAGAAAGUGUGAUUACAGAAUAACUUCACAUCAGAUUGCAGUCCAUAUUCUUAUUUUGGAUGUUGACAAUGUCUUCAGUUGGCUGACUCGAAUUCUCUAUUCCCGGAGCUCUAGCGAGAGAUCAAUUAACAGAUUCAGAUGAUCCAUGAGAGACUGCAAAAAGAAUAAAUUACAUUUUCUCCUUACCACACUUAAUGUGGUAUAUGUGCUUACAACACCAAGACCGAAAGAAACUGAAGAAGAAAGUUUGACAAAUGCAAUGAUAAGGCAAAAAUAAGAUCAAGAUGACUACAUUUGCAAAUGCCACAUUUGCAAUGCUAUGUCAGGUGCUCUAUUUGACCAAUACCAUAGCAAGAUGACUGCAAAAGAGAUUUGUGAUGCUUUGGAGGCUAAGUACAUGUCUAAGGAUGCCACGAGUAAGAAAUUUAUAACCUCUAAAUUUUAUCAAUAUCGUAUGGUGGACAAUAGAAUAGUAAUUGAACAAUUUCAUGAAAUAGUUCACAUUUAUAACCAAUUUCAACAAUAUCACAUGAAAAUGAACGAAUUCUUUGUUGUAUCAUUCAUCAUUGAUAAACUUUCUCCUGGUUGGAAAGAUUAUAAAACGAAUCUCAAACAUAGAAGGGAUGAUCUUUCCCGUGAGGAGUUGGGCCAUCAUUUUUGAAUAAAAGAGGACUUUAAAGUUAAUAACUCUGAUAAAAACAAUGGCUAAUCUUCUAAUGUUCAUGUGGCGGAUGACAGAAAAUGUACUAAUAAAGGAAUGAAGGAAAACAAAACUCUUCAAAAAAUAGCAAGAAGAGAAAAUUUGACUCUGAAUACGAGGACUUGAAGAAGAAAAAAAUGGCCAUGUUACAAUUGUGGUAAAAUGGGCCACAUCAAAAAGGAAUGCCGCCUUUUGAAGAAGCAAAAACAAGAUGAAAACUCCAACUUCAUGGUUAUGAUAAGUGAGGUGUUCGGGAUGGAGAAUGAAAAUGAGUGGUGGAUCGAUUCGGGUGCCACUAGGCAUGUAUGUAAGAAUCGAAGUCUAUUUGCCACUUAUAAAUCUAUUGAACAUGGAAAAACCCUCUACAUGGGAAAUUCCACCAUCACAGUUGUGCUUGGAAAAUGCAACAUCAAAUUGAAAUUUACUUCUGGGAAGACUCUCGCUAUCACCGAUGUUUACCAUUUGCCGGAAGUUAGAAAGAAUCUUGUGUCCGAUGGUCUUCGUAAUAAGUUUGGUUUGAAAUUUGUAUUUGAGUCAAAUAAGUUUGUGUUGUCUAAGGGAAAUGUCUUUGUUGG